Molecule: long non-coding RNA, 2059 nt
Filed under: Coffea arabica (coffee)
Lineage: Eukaryota; Viridiplantae; Streptophyta; Magnoliopsida; Gentianales; Rubiaceae
Description: long non-coding RNA (CARA_LNC000352)
Source: RNAcentral
UCUAACUCACCGUGUUUCCUCAGCUGCUAGUGCUCUGCUCUCCACCAUCACUUCCACCUGCAACCCUAAUAUUAUCGUAUUAGAGAAGUGGACGGUAGAGAAAGGAGCCAUUAUGGCUAAAUCUUUCUAGUCUUGAGAUUCACUACUGUCAAAGAUUAACCAUGAUUCCGGCCCGAGGGAUUGAGGUUCAUUGGUUCACUCAAAAAGUGUUGGCAAUCCGUGAAGAAUUUCAGAACAGGGUUCGAGGAGAGGAUUUCGACAAAAUCUGCCACAAUAUUCCUUCAGUAAGGAUCCUUCCACCUCUAAAUCGUAUUUUGAUACAGAUAUGUCUUGAACAAAAGCUUUAAUUCUGGAAGCCUUUCAUUCAGUGAUGUAUUUUUCUCCGCCUUCUUCUAUUUCCCAUUGUUUUUGUUUAACUCCAUUUUAUAGCUUCAUAUAUCAGAAUAUAUAGUGAGUACUACACUUUUUAUCAUUUACCUGCUCCUUCCUUCCUACUCGAAUCCAUGUUCUGAAUACUGUGAGAUCCAAGCUGCUUUUCGUAUUUACUACUGCAGAUGAUGCCAAAGAAUCUGUAAAGAAGGGAAUUCGCUUGAGGUGAAAACCUUCUGAAGUUUUUUGACCAUGGGCUUAUUUUUUGCUUAUCUCUGCUGCAGAUUGCUGUUAGUUAUCUUGAUAAUUGAUAUUUUAACCUUUCUGGUCAAGUUGUGCAUUUCUUAAUGAUUGAAGGCCUGCUUUUGUUUCUGCUUCCUCUCACUAAUUUGUUCUAUUGUGACUGGAGUGGGUUUGAAUUCAGUUAGUUAAAUUGAGUCCAAGUUGCUUCCUCUCACUAAUUGAAUUGAGGGUUGAUAUCAAAGUGGGUGGCAUAUGAUUCUAGGUAGUCAAUGAAUUGUUUCUUGGUGGCGUAAUCAGGGUAAUAAUCAGGGAAGGGGAACUUAUUAGCUAUCCCGAAUAACAAGACAGAAAUGAAACCAUAUCCAUUUUAUCUUUCAUAUCCAUUUCUGUUCAGGUGGACUCGUUCUAGUUUUGUUUGGCUCAUUUCUUGUCUUGUUCAUCAGAUGUCUAAUGACAAAAGAAGUUCCUUUGCACCUGUUUCUCUGGCUCAGUAUAUCUGAUGCUGUCUUCCAUACAAACAAAAACUUGGUCCUUAAAUUAAUCCAGGAUCAAUAGAAUCUUCCCUUGUACUACUAUUAUAUAUCAUUUGUCUAAAUUAUACUACUGCUUCAUAUGGAUUGCUGGUGGUAGUAUUUUAGCUUCACUCUGAUGGAUUUUCUGAAAAAGUUUAAAUGAAUCAGAAAUAAGAAAUUUUUGGGUUCAAUUCCACCAGAAUUUGGUUUAUUUCUUGGUCGGAAUUCUGAAUUUUUACUGGAUUGUUACUGGAAAUGAUGGAAUUGAUGACCCACCCCACUAGUUACAAUAUGAUGUAGUUUUGCAGCAUGAUAUUUAUACCAGUUUUCUUCAUUGAAAGUGGUACUGAAUUCAAGAGAACCAAUAGUGCAGCAAACUUUGGCUACCUGACAAUAACUCCGUACAACCAUAUAAAAAUGUUGAUAGUUUUCUAGAAACUAAUUAAGUUUCAGCUUUUGUUGGUGGCUGGAAGAUUCUCCACAGGCUUUUGCUGAUGAAGGUGGAGUUCUCCACAGGCUGCAGGAAGACUUGGCUUUUGGUGAAGGUGGUAGCGCAGAAGUUGUCCCCAAGGUGCUUGCAUCUCCAUGUAGGAGGAGGAGAGGUCUGCCUGACAAAUUUGCUGCAACAUAUCAAAAAGAUUAGUAGAGAAAAUAUAAUUUCUGCACGUAGUCCCUUUGGAUGAUUAUAGUUAAGUGGGGAACAAUUUAUAGCAUUUCUUGGGAUCUAAUGGUUUUUUUUAAAUUGCUUUGCAUUCUUUCUCAAAAUUAAGGAGCUUUUGUAUAAGUGCUCUUCCUGUAUUCUAUUUAGCAAGUACUUGACUGUGUGUGAAUAGGUCAUCUGACAGUCUUAAGUUUUGUAUUUUCCAACAUCUCCUCCAAAGAAGCUGGUAAAUAUUAGUACAAAGGUUCGGUCGUGUAUUUAUCAUAUUGUGUUA